UUCAGAGCCUGCAGACCCGAGUGUUAGAGCUACAGCAACAAUUAGCCGUGGCUGUGGCUGCCGACCGCAAGAAAGAUACCAUGAUUGAACAACUGGACAAGACCCUGGCCCGUGUGGUGGAGGGCUGGAACCGGCAUGAGGCUGAGCGGACAGAGGUUCUCAGGGGACUUCAAGAGGAACACCAGGCAGCAGAGCUCACCAGAAGCAAGCAGCAGGAGGUGAGCGCCCUGGAGCAUAUGGCAUUAGAACCUGAGUCACAGAUCUCAAGAUGGAAAGGGGCAGAAAUAGCUCUGGAAUUAGGGUUUCCAACAGAUUGACCUCAGUCUUGUAGUGGCUGUCCUGACAUUUCUUCUCAUCCCUCCUUUCUUCUCCUUUAACCGUUUCUGCUGUCCAACUUGAAUCAUCAAUGUCUUAAUUUUUCCCACACCAUGUAGUCUUCUAUCUGGCCCCUUAGUCAUUUAGUUAACUGUGAAGUUUCAAGUUUACAUUGUCAAUGCUUUAUAAAAUAUAGCACACACAGAUUUCCCACAGUUCCUCUGCCCUGUAUUCCUCUCUUCCUGAAAGACAGUAACCCGCCUGGAACAAAGCCUUUCUGAGGCCAUGGAGGCCCUGAAUCGUGAGCAGGAAAGUGCCAGACUGCAGCAACGGGAAAGAGAGACACUGGAGGAGGAAAGGCAAGCUCUGACUCUGAGGUUGGAGGCAGAACAGCAGCGGUGCUGUGUCCUGCAGGAAGAGCGGGAUGCAGCUCGGGCUGGGCAACUGAGUGAGCAUCGAGAGUUGGAGACUCUUCGGGCUGCCCUAGAAGAAGAACGGCAGACCUGGGCCCAGCAAGAGCACCAGCUUAAGGAACACUACCAGGCGCUGCAGGAGGAGAGCCAGGCUCAGCUGGAAAGGGAGAAGGAGAAGAGCCAGAGGGAAGCCCAGGCCGCCUGGGAGACCCAGCACCAGUUGGCAUUGGUGCAGUCUGAGGUGCGGCGGCUGGAAGGAGAGCUGGAUACAGCUCGGAGAGAGAGAGAUGCCCUGCAGCUGGAAAUGAGCUUGGUGCAGGUCAGAAGGCAGAGGUUUCUUGAGGUUUUGUUCUGACAGAAGUAGAUCUGAGGCAGAGGGACCUCUCAGGAGUUGUGGCAGACACUCCCAGUUCAGGUGUUUGGGGUUUAAUUCCAUUAACAGUUUCUAUGUAGUAUGGGUAGUUUUCUGUCCUAAACUCAGAGCUAUUUCUUACUGAGUGACCAUUUCCCACAAUAUGUCAGACUGACCUAGUGUUACUUUUAGGAUUAAAUAGAUUUAAAUCUAUUAAAGAUACCUUAUGUUAUUUUAAGAGAUGACACCACACUUAGUGGGUUGACAGAGCAGGUGAAAGCUUUUGUCAGAGACUUGAUUCCAAUUGUAACAGUGUGCUUUGUAAUUCUCAUUACUUGAAUAACUUGUAUUAAUUUCUCUGAGUAGGUCAGGGACCCAGGAGGGCAAUGAUUUUUUAAUUUACUUAUGAAACUUCCAUAACAGCACAUGGCCUGGCACAGAAUUGUACUCAAAAAUUGUUUGUCAGAUAUAAUUACACUUUGAAAAACUCUUUCCAUCUAGCUAACACACUGAAUUUUAAAUUCAAACUAGUCGGACUCUUGCCAUGGAAUAGAGCAGGAGUUGGCGAACUUUUUCUGUAAAGGGCCAGACAGUAAAUAUUUUUAGCUUUGUGGGUUGUAUGGUCUCAGUUGCAACUACCCAACUCUGCUGUUAUACCACAGAAGUAGCUAUAAACUGUACGUAAACAAAUGGGCACAGCUGUGUUCUAGUACAACUUAUCUAAACAGGCAAUGGAGGGCUGAAUUGGGCUGUAGUUCGCCGAUCUCCAGAAUAGAGGAAAGGAUUGGAGAGAGCUGUGUUCCAGCCCAUGGGGGAGACACAGCGUUGAAGAGGAAAGAGUAUUGCAUUAGGACUUAGGGCACUUACGUCUACUUCUAGCUAGAAUUUUGACCUUUAUGGGCCUCUGUUUUUAUGUAUAAAAUGUGUAAGGACAAAUUGAUGAAUUUUCCAGGUGCAAGCCAGUCUGAGAGGCUAUGUUCCUUAUAAAUGGUUAACUUAAGGAGGUACCAGUGAGGCCAGCAUUUGAGAACCACAAUCCUUUGGCCCGGUAUGGUGGCUCAUGCCUGUAAUCCCAGCACUGUGGGAGGCCAAGGCGGGUGGAUCACUUGAGCCCAGGAGUUUGAGACCAGCCCGGCCAACAUGGUGAAACCCUGUCUCUACUAAAAAUACAAAAAUUAUCCAGGUGUAUGGUGCACACCUGUAGUCCCGGCUACUAAGAAGGCCGAGGCAGGAGAAUCGCUUGAACCCGGGAGGUGGAGGUUGCAGUGAGCCCAGAUUGAACCAGUGUACUCCAGCCUGGGCAACAGAGUGAG
RNAcentral lists this long non-coding RNA (2393 nucleotides) under Homo sapiens (human). RNAcentral describes it as "long non-coding RNA NONHSAT174837.1". Lineage: Eukaryota; Metazoa; Chordata; Mammalia; Primates; Hominidae. The record is from RNAcentral.